GAUGAAGAACGUAGCGAAAUGCGACAAGUAAUGUGAAUUGCAGAAUUCAGUGAAUCAUCGAGUCUUUGAACGCACAUUGCGCCCCCUGGUAUUCCGGGGGGCAUGCCUGUCCGAGCGUCAUUGCUGCCCUCAAGCACGGCUUGUGUGUUGGGCCUCCGUCCUCCUCCCGGGGGACGGGCCCGAAAGGCAGCGGCGGCCCCGCGUCCGGUCCUCGAGCGUAUGGGGCUUCGUCACCCGCUCUUGUAGGCCCGGCCGGCGCUUGCCGACACAUCAAUCUUUUUUCCAGGUUGACCUCGGAUCAGGUAGGGAUACCCGCUGAACUUAAGCAUAUCAAUAAGCGGAGGA
This 345-nucleotide unclassified non-coding RNA is filed under the name soil metagenome. RNAcentral's name for it is "partial contains 5.8S ribosomal RNA, internal transcribed spacer 2, and large subunit ribosomal RNA". The stretch from base 1 to 120 matches the Rfam family "5.8S ribosomal RNA", at positions 35 to 154 of the family's 154-position model. The record is from RNAcentral.